UGGGGUUGCGACCGCCUUGCUCUUGCUUCGACAGUGACAAGAAUAAUAAUAAUCUGCUCGCCGCUGGAUAGAUGAUAUACUUGGUAAAUACAGCAAAGCAAAGCAUGUUAGAGCCACCUCAGUCAGCCUUAGGCCGCGCCAAAAAAAUAUUUGUGUGUGUGUGUCUGUUUGUAAAUAUGUACUAUCAAAAGAAUGUUGUUUGUUCUGUUAACAUGUUACCUGUAGUGUAAUUUUGGUCAUAGAAGGAUGAUCACCAUUUGUUGAUGUUGGUAUAGGUC
Molecule: long non-coding RNA, 278 nt
Filed under: Hordeum vulgare
Lineage: Eukaryota; Viridiplantae; Streptophyta; Magnoliopsida; Poales; Poaceae
Description: long non-coding RNA (HVUL_LNC009481)
Source: RNAcentral